AUCGUUAGACAUACCAGCUGGAACAUGCCUGACUUGUCUUAUCUCAGAAACCAAACCAGAUCAGGCUAUGUUAAUACUUGGAUGGAAGACCAUCUGGGAUCAGAAGGUAUGCUU
This 114-nucleotide ribosomal RNA is filed under the name Phascolarctos cinereus (koala). Lineage: Eukaryota; Metazoa; Chordata; Mammalia; Diprotodontia; Phascolarctidae. The record is from RNAcentral.